This 1343-nucleotide ribosomal RNA is filed under the name uncultured bacterium. RNAcentral's name for it is "16S ribosomal RNA". It matches the Rfam family "Bacterial small subunit ribosomal RNA", at positions 28 to 1378 of the family's 1533-position model. The record is from RNAcentral.
GACGAACGCUGGUUGCGUGCUUAACACAUGCAAGUCGAACGGAAAGGCCCUGCUUUUGUGGGGUGCUCGAGUGGCGAACGGGUGAGUAACACGUGAGUAACCUGCCCUUGACUUUGGGAUAACUUCAGGAAACUGGGGCUAAUACCGGAUAGGAGCUCCUGCUGCAUGGUGGGGGUUGGAAAGUUUCGGCGGUUGGGGAUGGACUCGCGGCUUAUCAGCUUGUUGGUGGGGUAGUGGCUUACCAAGGCUUUGACGGGUAGCCGGCCUGAGAGGGUGACCGGCCACAUUGGGACUGAGAUACGGCCCAGACUCCUACGGGAGGCAGCAGUGGGGAAUAUUGCACAAUGGGCGGAAGCCUGAUGCAGCAACGCCGCGUGCGGGAUGACGGCCUUCGGGUUGUAAACCGCUUUCGCCUGUGACGAAGCGUGAGUGACGGUAAUGGGUAAAGAAGCACCGGCUAACUACGUGCCAGCAGCCGCGGUGAUACGUAGGGUGCGAGCGUUGUCCGGAUUUAUUGGGCGUAAAGGGCUCGUAGGUGGUUGAUCGCGUCGGAAGUGUAAUCUUGGGGCUUAACCCUGAGCGUGCUUUCGAUACGGGUUGACUUGAGGAAGGUAGGGGAGAAUGGAAUUCCUGGUGGAGCGGUGGAAUGCGCAGAUAUCAGGAGGAACACCAGUGGCGAAGGCGGUUCUCUGGGCCUUUCCUGACGCUGAGGAGCGAAAGCGUGGGGAGCGAACAGGCUUAGUUACCCUGGUAGUCCACGCUGUAAACGGUGGGUACUAGGUGUGGGGUCCAUUCCACGGGUUCCGUGCCGUAGCUAACGCUUUAAGUACCCCGCCUGGGGAGUACGGCCGCAAGGCUAAAACUCAAAGGAAUUGACGGGGCCCCGCACAAGCGGCGGAGCAUGCGGAUUAAUUCGAUGCAACGCGUAGAACCUUACCUGGGUUUGACAUGGAUCGGGAGUGCUCAGAGAUGGGUGUGCCUCUUUUGGGGUCGGUUCACAGGUGGUGCAUGGCUGUCGUCAGCUCGUGUCGUGAGAUGUUGGGUUAAGUCCCGCAACGAGCGCAACCCUUGUUCACUGUUGCCAGCACGUUAUGGUGGGGACUCAGUGGAGACCGCCGGGGUCAACUCGGAGGAAGGUGGGGAUGACGUCAAGUCAUCAUGCCCCUUAUGUCCAGGGCUUCACGCAUGCUACAAUGGCUGGUACAGAGAGUGGCGAGCCUGUGAGGGUGAGCGAAUCUCGGAAAGCCGGUCUCAGUUCGGAUUGGGGUCUGCAACUCGACCUCAUGAAGUCGGAGUCGCUAGUAAUCGCAGAUCAGCAACGCUGGGGUGAAUACGUUCCCGGG